UACGUAGGCAGCGAGCGUUGUUCGGAGUUACUGGGCGUAAAGCGUGCGUAGGCGGUUGUCUUAGUCUGGUGUGAAAUCUCCCGGCUCAACUGGGAGGGUGCGCCGGAAACUGGAUGACUGGAGUGCCGGAGAGGUAAGCGGAAUUCCUGGUGUAGCGGUGAAAUGCGUAGAGAUCAGGAGGAACACCUGUGGUGUAGACAGCUUACUGGACGGUGACUGACGCUGAGGCACGAAAGCGUGGGUAGCAAACAGG
Molecule: ribosomal RNA, 253 nt
Filed under: uncultured bacterium
Lineage: Bacteria
Description: partial 16S ribosomal RNA
Rfam family: Bacterial small subunit ribosomal RNA
Source: RNAcentral